UACGUAGGGCGCAAGCGUUGUCCGGAAUUAUUGGGCGUAAAGAGCUCGUAGGCGGUUUGUCGCGUCUGUCGUGAAAGCUUGGGGCUUAACCCCAAGUCUGCGGUGGAUACGGGCAGACUAGAGGCAGGUAGGGGAGAACGGAAUUCCCGGUGUAGCGGUGAAAUGCGCAGAUAUCGGGAGGAACACCGGUGGCGAAGGCGGUUCUCUGGGCCUGUACUGACGCUGAGGGGCGAAAGCGUGGGGAGCGAACAGG
RNAcentral lists this ribosomal RNA (253 nucleotides) under uncultured bacterium. RNAcentral's name for it is "partial 16S ribosomal RNA". It matches the Rfam family "Bacterial small subunit ribosomal RNA", at positions 524 to 776 of the family's 1533-position model. The record is from RNAcentral.